Molecule: ribosomal RNA, 253 nt
Filed under: uncultured bacterium
Lineage: Bacteria
Description: partial 16S ribosomal RNA
Rfam family: Bacterial small subunit ribosomal RNA
Source: RNAcentral
CACGGGGGGAGCAAGCGUUGUUCGGAAUCACUGGGCGUAAAGGGCGUGUAGGCGGUCAGGUAAGUGGGAUGUGAAAGCCCUCGGCUCACCCGAGGAUCUGCAUCUCAAACUGCCUGGCUUGAGUAUGGGAGAGGAUGAGGGAAUUCCCGGUGUAGCGGUGAAAUGCGUAGAUAUCAGGAGGAACACCGGUGGCGAAGGCGCACAUCUGGCCCGAUACUGACGCUGAGGCGCGAAAGCUAGGGGAGCAAACGGG